GCUUGUCUCAAAGAUUAAGCCAUGCAUGUCUAAGUAUAAACAAAUCUAUACGUGAAACUGCGAAUGGCUCAUUAUAUCAGUUAUAGUUUAUUUGAUGGUUCAUACUACUUGGAUAACCGUAGUAAUUCUAGAGCUAAUACAUGCGUCAAUGCCCGACUUUGGAAGGGCUGUGUUUAUUAGAUCCAAAACCAAUGCGGGGCAACCCGGUUACUGGUGAUUCAUAAUAACCUAUCGGACCGAAUGGCCUUGCGCCGUCGGUGCAUCAUUCAAAUUUCUGCCCUAUCAAUUUGUUGGUAGUAUAUAGGACUACCAAGAUGAUUACGGGUAACGGAGAAUUAGGGUUUGAUUCCGGAGAGGGAGCCUGAGAAACGGCUACCACAUCUAAGGAAGGCAGCAGG
RNAcentral lists this ribosomal RNA (398 nucleotides) under Nutomonas limna. Its description in RNAcentral is "Ancyromonas limna partial small subunit ribosomal RNA". It matches the Rfam family "Eukaryotic small subunit ribosomal RNA", at positions 30 to 432 of the family's 1831-position model. The record is from RNAcentral. Lineage: Eukaryota; Ancyromonadida; Planomonadidae.